GCCCCCAGGCCGAAGGGAGCCGCUCCGAGAUGGCCAGGCCAGGGGGCCAGGGGCUGGGACUGUCAGUUCUCAUGGACCGGAAGAGCCCCAAGUGGCCAGUGCUCCUGCCGGUGUGUCCCCAGAACGUGGAAUGGUGCCUGGUGCAAAGGAGGUGUGGCUGGUGGCCCCAUUUCACAGAGGAGCCAAGUGAG
Physeter macrocephalus (sperm whale) is the source of this 191-nucleotide long non-coding RNA. RefSeq lists it as uncharacterized. The transcript has 3 exons. Lineage: Eukaryota; Metazoa; Chordata; Mammalia; Artiodactyla; Physeteridae. The record is from RefSeq and is a predicted model, not a curated record.